UACGAAGGGGGCGAGCGUUGUUCGGAUUUACUGGGCGUAAAGGGCGCGCAGGCGGCCAUUCAAGUCAGGCGUGAAAGCCCCGGGCUCAACCUGGGAAUGGCAAUGGAUACUGGCAGGCUAGAGUGCGGUAGAGGGUAGUGGAAUUCCCGGUGUAGCGGUGAAAUGCGUAGAGAUCGGGAGGAACACCAGUGGCGAAGGCGGCUACCUGGACCAGCACUGACACUGAGGCACGAAAGCGUGGGGAGCAAGCAGG
Molecule: ribosomal RNA, 253 nt
Filed under: uncultured bacterium
Lineage: Bacteria
Description: partial 16S ribosomal RNA
Rfam family: Bacterial small subunit ribosomal RNA
Source: RNAcentral